Molecule: ribosomal RNA, 1372 nt
Filed under: uncultured bacterium
Lineage: Bacteria
Description: bacterial SSU rRNA
Rfam family: Bacterial small subunit ribosomal RNA
Source: RNAcentral
GAUGAACGCUGGCGGCGUGCCUAAUACAUGCAAGUCGAGCGAACGGACGAGAAGCUUGCUUCUCUGAUGUUAGCGGCGGACGGGUGAGUAACACGUGGAUAACCUACCUAUAAGACUGGGAUAACUUCGGGAAACCGGAGCUAAUACCGGAUAAUAUUUUGAACCGCAUGGUUCAAAAGUGAAAGACGGUCUUGCUGUCACUUAUAGAUGGAUCCGCGCUGCAUUAGCUAGUUGGUAAGGUAACGGCUUACCAAGGCAACGAUGCAUAGCCGACCUGAGAGGGUGAUCGGCCACACUGGAACUGAGACACGGUCCAGACUCCUACGGGAGGCAGCAGUAGGGAAUCUUCCGCAAUGGGCGAAAGCCUGACGGAGCAACGCCGCGUGAGUGAUGAAGGUCUUCGGAUCGUAAAACUCUGUUAUUAGGGAAGAACAUAUGUGUAAGUAACUGUGCACAUCUUGACGGUACCUAAUCAGAAAGCCACGGCUAACUACGUGCCAGCAGCCGCGGUAAUACGUAGGUGGCAAGCGUUAUCCGGAAUUAUUGGGCGUAAAGCGCGCGUAGGCGGUUUUUUAAGUCUGAUGUGAAAGCCCACAGCUCAACCGUGGAGGGUCAUUGGAAACUGGAAAACUUGAGUGCAGAAGAGGAAAGUGGAAUUCCAUGUGUAGCGGUGAAAUGCGCAGAGAUAUGGAGGAACACCAGUGGCGAAGGCGACUUUCUGGUCUGUAACUGACGCUGAUGUGCGAAAGCGUGGGGAUCAAACAGGAUUAGAUACCCUGGUAGUCCACGCCGUAAACGAUGAGUGCUAAGUGUUAGGGGGUUUCCGCCCCUUAGUGCUGCAGCUAACGCAUUAAGCACUCCGCCUGGGGAGUACGACCGCAAGGUUGAAACUCAAAGGAAUUGACGGGGACCCGCACAAGCGGUGGAGCAUGUGGUUUAAUUCGAAGCAACGCGAAGAACCUUACCAAAUCUUGACAUCCUUUGACAACUCUAGAGAUAGAGCUUUCCCCUUCGGGGGACAAAGUGACAGGUGGUGCAUGGUUGUCGUCAGCUCGUGUCGUGAGAUGUUGGGUUAAGUCCCGCAACGAGCGCAACCCUUAAGCUUAGUUGCCAUCAUUAAGUUGGGCACUCUAAGUUGACUGCCGGUGACAAACCGGAGGAAGGUGGGGAUGACGUCAAAUCAUCAUGCCCCUUAUGAUUUGGGCUACACACGUGCUACAAUGGACAAUACAAAGGGCAGCGAAACCGCGAGGUCAAGCAAAUCCCAUAAAGUUGUUCUCAGUUCGGAUUGUAGUCUGCAACUCGACUACAUGAAGCUGGAAUCGCUAGUAAUCGUAGAUCAGCAUGCUACGGUGAAUACGUUCCCGGGUCU